Molecule: signal recognition particle RNA, 261 nt
Filed under: Gorilla gorilla gorilla (western lowland gorilla)
Lineage: Eukaryota; Metazoa; Chordata; Mammalia; Primates; Hominidae
Description: Metazoan signal recognition particle RNA
Rfam family: Metazoan signal recognition particle RNA
About the family: The signal recognition particle (SRP) is a universally conserved ribonucleoprotein.
Source: Rfam by way of RNAcentral
GCCGGGCAUGGUAGCGGGUGCCUAUAGUCCCAGCUACUCGGGAGGCUGAGGCAGGAGAAUGGCGUGAACCCGGGAGGUGGAGCUUGCAGUGAGCCGAGAUUGCACCACUGCACUCCAGCCUGGGCGACAGAGNNNNNNNNNNUUUUUUUUUUUUUUUUUUGAGACAGAGUCUCGCUCUGUCGCCCAGGCUGGAGUGCAGUGGUGCAAUCUCGGCUCACUGCAAGCUCCACCUCCCGGGUUCACGCCAUUCUCCUGCCUCAG